Molecule: long non-coding RNA, 721 nt
Filed under: Gallus gallus (chicken)
Lineage: Eukaryota; Metazoa; Chordata; Aves; Galliformes; Phasianidae
Description: lncRNA (ENSGALG00010029105.1)
Source: RNAcentral
CAGCGCACAGCCUGACACCGACCCCAGCCACAGAGGCAAUAAGGCAGACAGGAUGUUAUUCACACGUGCCGAAACGAAGUUAAACCCCCACGCUGCUCAGCCUGCUGUGCCGUGCCCAUUAGGUUCGUGUUCCCUGCGCUGCAGAGCACAGCCUGACACGGAAGAUGCCGUUUUUGGUACGUUCUCUAGUUCACCUUGAGAACAGAAACCAGCGGAGGCAGCGGUUUGAGGUCAGGGGCAAAGGUCUGCUGCUGCUCUCACUCACAAUAGGAAAACGCACAGAUGCGAUUCCUGCCCGCUGCUCGAGGCGGCCAUCUGGACACGGACUGCCCUCAGCUGAAAUGAAGUACUUCAUUCGGGCCUACCGGAUCCUCCGCCUCUGCCAUAGCAGCCAAUGCUCAGUAAGGAUCCCAGGCCAUUUUUAGUGCGUUUCCCCAUCAGUGACUGAGCCUGCAGACCCUGCGUGACCCCACAGGCUGAACGGAACGGAGCAAACAGAGCCGUCAGCACACGCUGAGCAACUGGAGAGAGCCAUUAACAGGUUAGUCAAAAACACCGUCCUUCACUGCGAAAGUUAUUCCUUUCUGGAUGCAGCCGGAGCACUUUGGAUCAUCUCUAUCAGACACCGCAGUAGGACUGAAGCAGAGUGAACUCCAUGAGCGCCAAGCUUCAGCACAUUAAUUGCUGCUCCUCAGGAACCCGAGACGACCAUUUGAAGGCU